CCUACGGGUGGCUGCAGUGGGGAAUAUUGGACAAUGGGGGGAACCCUGAUCCAGCCAUGCCGCGUGUGUGAAGAAGGCCCUCGGGUUGUAAAGCACUUUCAGUGAGGAAGAACGCCUGGUGGUUAAUACCCAUCAGGAAAGACAUCACUCACAGAAGAAGCACCGGCUAACUCCGUGCCAGCGGCCGCGGUAAUACGGAGGGUGCGAGCGUUAAUCGGAAUUACUGGGCGUAAAGCGCGCGUAGGUGGCUUGAUAAGCCGGUUGUGAAAGCCCCGGGCUCAACCUGGGAACGGCAUCCGGAACUGUCAAGCUAGAGUGCAGGAGAGGAAGGUAGAAUUCCCGGUGUAGCGGUGAAAUGCGUAGAGAUCGGGAGGAAUACCAGUGGCGAAGGCGGCCUUCUGGACUGACACUGACACUGAGGUGCGAAAGCGUGGGUAGCAAACAGGAUUAGAUACCCGAGUAGUC
Molecule: ribosomal RNA, 465 nt
Filed under: Vreelandella stevensii
Lineage: Bacteria; Pseudomonadati; Pseudomonadota; Gammaproteobacteria; Oceanospirillales; Halomonadaceae
Description: partial 16S ribosomal RNA
Rfam family: Bacterial small subunit ribosomal RNA
Source: RNAcentral